GAUGAACGCUAGCGGCAGGCUUAACACAUGCAAGUCGAGGGGUAUUGGUUUUCGGACCAAGAGACCGGCGCACGGGUGCGUAACGCGUAUGCAAUCUACCUUUUGCAGAGGGAUAGCCCCAGAGAAAUUUGGAUUAAUACCUCAUAGUAUAGUACUUUGGCAUCAAGGAACUAUUAAAGUCACAACGGCAAAAGAUGAGCAUGCGUCCCAUUAGCUAGUUGGUAAGGUAACGGCUUACCAAGGCUACGAUGGGUAGGGGUCCUGAGAGGGAGAUCCCCCACACUGGUACUGAGACACGGACCAGACUCCUACGGGAGGCAGCAGUGAGGAAUA
RNAcentral lists this ribosomal RNA (333 nucleotides) under uncultured bacterium. RNAcentral describes it as "bacterial SSU rRNA". It matches the Rfam family "Bacterial small subunit ribosomal RNA", at positions 28 to 363 of the family's 1533-position model. The record is from RNAcentral.